RNAcentral lists this ribosomal RNA (616 nucleotides) under Bacillus cereus. RNAcentral describes it as "bacterial SSU rRNA". It matches the Rfam family "Bacterial small subunit ribosomal RNA", at positions 55 to 651 of the family's 1533-position model. Lineage: Bacteria; Bacillati; Bacillota; Bacilli; Caryophanales; Bacillaceae. The record is from RNAcentral.
AUGCAAGUCGAGCGAAUGGAUUAAGAGCUUGCUCUUAUGAAGUUAGCGGCGGACGGGUGAGUAACACGUGGGUAACCUGCCCAUAAGACUGGGAUAACUCCGGGAAACCGGGGCUAAUACCGGAUAACAUUUUGAACCGCAUGGUUCGAAAUUGAAAGGCGGCUUCGGCUGUCACUUAUGGAUGGACCCGCGUCGCAUUAGCUAGUUGGUGAGGUAACGGCUCACCAAGGCAACGAUGCGUAGCCGACCUGAGAGGGUGAUCGGCCACACUGGGACUGAAACACGGCCCAAACUCCUACGGGAGGCAGCAGUAGGGAAUCUUCCGCAAUGGACGAAAGUCUGACGGAGCAACGCCGCGUGAGUGAUGAAGGCUUUCGGGUCGUAAAACUCUGUUGUUAGGGAAGAACAAGUGCUAGUUGAAUAAGCUGGCACCUUGACGGUACCUAACCAGAAAGCCACGGCUAACUACGUGCCAGCAGCCGCGGUAAUACGUAGGUGGCAAGCGUUAUCCGGAAUUAUUGGGCGUAAAGCGCGCGCAGGUGGUUUCUUAAGUCUGAUGUGAAAGCCCACGGCUCAACCGUGGAGGGUCAUUGGAAACUGGGAGACUUGAGUGCAG